This 253-nucleotide ribosomal RNA is filed under the name uncultured bacterium. Its description in RNAcentral is "partial 16S ribosomal RNA". It matches the Rfam family "Bacterial small subunit ribosomal RNA", at positions 524 to 776 of the family's 1533-position model. The record is from RNAcentral.
UACGAAGGGGGCUAGCGUUGUUCGGAAUUACUGGGCGUAAAGCGCACGUAGGCGGAUACUUAAGUCAGGGGUGAAAUCCCGGGGCUCAACCCCGGAACUGCCUUUGAUACUGGGUAUCUCGAGUCCGGAAGAGGUGAGUGGAAUUCCGAGUGUAGAGGUGAAAUUCGUAGAUAUUAGGAAGAACACCAGUGGCGAAGGCGGCUCACUGGUCCGGUACUGACGCUGAGGUGCGAAAGUGUGGGGAGCAAACAGG